Molecule: long non-coding RNA, 2369 nt
Organism: Mus musculus (house mouse)
Lineage: Eukaryota; Metazoa; Chordata; Mammalia; Rodentia; Muridae
Exons: 2
Source: RefSeq, a predicted model, not a curated record
AGUAGGGACAGAGCUGAAGGCAGUUAGCUCUCAGUAAACACUCAGAUUAUUUUCCUCUCUGCCCAGUUCCGGGCCCACCUUCCGGGCAGCUGGCAUGAAGGCUUUCGAAGAAAAAUAAAUAGAAGUCCAGGCUCCCACAGCCAUUCAGCUUACACAGCGGAUCCAGUUUGACUCUGGGAGGAACGGCCUUUGGUUUGGUUUUCUUUGCUUUGACGUGGAUUGCCCUGAGAUGGUGUCAUCUAUAAAAGUGGGAAGCAGUCUCUGGAGAAGCCAAUAAUGCGCUCAUGGUCACCCAGACACAGAGGCAGAGCUAGACUGAGCAUGUGUCAUCUGGUCAUGGACGAUGAGGAUGUAGACGCUACCCCAAAUGUUAUCCCGUGUCCACUGACUUCUGGUUCCUUUCAUUGGCUGCCUGCCUCAAAGAGGGAUCUCAGAGGUGGCAUCCUUCAAACCCAAGGACUCGAUGACAAAAGAUACCGAGAGACAGUGAUUACAUCGGAGAAAAUGCACUGUGGAUGCUAACUGCGCCCCUCAGGCACUCCUAAGGGAGGCAUUCUCUUCUUCAAAACGGAUCUCUCCUUCAUUCUCGGAGCCUCCAGUCUAAGGAUAAUCCUGUACUGAUUGAUGGCAGCUAAGACUCUCUGAGGUGACAGAUCUUAUACACACACACUCUCUCUCUCUCUCUCUCUCUCUCUCUCUCUCUCACACACACACACACACACACACACACACACACACACUGGGCUAUGACCUCACUGUGUUGUUUCAUAGGGGUUGUUCCUCACCAGUCCUUUGAACACUGGAGACUGAAGCAUCCCUCCUGACAACAGGACUCCCUGGAGAGAAUUAGGCCAGCACCUGACUCCUCUGAGAAAGCAAAGGUGAAGACUUGCAAAACACUACUAGGAGGUGCAUUGCAGACAAAUUCCCUGGGUCCACACUGGUCCCACCCUCAGCUCUUGGCAUUUCUAGUAUCCAGGAAUCUCUCUCCAGUCACAGAAGACUUGCUUCUGGUCCGUGUAAACUUAUUAAGUUCAUUUUUAAUGCUCAUUCUUGCCGGGUGUUCCUAUUUAUAUAACUUCUCUGCUGAGACCUUUGACUUGGCAGAAACUCUCCUGGCUAGAUAUCUUUUCCCAUCCGAGUUAGGAAUCAAAGGGACAGCUUUGGUCUCUUCAAAGAGAGACCUUUUUGAAAAUUUUUGCUCUUGGAAAUUACCUUCCUGUGCUUUUAUGUGAAGAGUGAUCAUGUCAGGACAGUUACAUUUUGUAUUAUAAAAUCAGAGUCAUGGUUACCACAUCACAGGAUUGUGAGAAACGGGAUAAGCUUGGAAUGCUUUGAGCCUUCUACAAAGGAUCAAGCUGGACAUAGUGGUACCCACACACCAACCACCUCAACUAUUGCACAGACCAGCCUUGGAGCGCAGACCAGCCUGAGCAACAUAGCAAGACCCCAACUCAAAAGGAAAAGUUCUGUGUGUUUGUGAAAUCAUUACUGUGACUCUUCCUUCCUCAAGGCCAGGCUCCUGCAGUUGGGACAACAGCUCUGCUAACCCAGGGGUCAAGGCAAUUCAAUAUGAUGACUUUUGAGUCUGCUUUGGUCCAAUCUAGACCUAAACUAUAUCCAAUAACUUAUAUAUUUAAAUUCAUCUGGAGUGUCACUGUAUCGGGAAAGAAAAACAAUAAACAAUCAUUUUCCAUGUUUUUCAUUGUAACUCGCUCAUAUACCAUGUCUAGACAAUGGCUCAUGCACACAUGCGUAAUAUCAAUGAGAAAGGACACCUCUGCAUUAAUUGUCAACAUUGAUGGCUGCAGGCAUGUCAGCAAAAUCAAACCUCUCAAGUCACCAGGAAUCUUGGACACACUAUUGACGAAAACAAGACUUGGAAUACAAACGAGUAUAAUUUUUAUUUAUUUAUUUGGCUUAAAAAAAAUCAUAGCUCUAAAUUUUAAAGACAUCUUUUUUUAUUUUUAUUUAUGUGUGGGGGUAUAUAUAUAUAUAUAUAUUAUAUAUAUAUAUAUUCCACCAAUACACAGGUGGCUGUGGGGGACAGAAGAGGGUGCCGGAUCCCCUGGAGCUGGAGUUAGGCUUUAGUUACUAACUUUGAUAGACUGAAGAAUGAGGUACAAAGAACUUUCCAGAAGUCUGAGUGUAGAACACAAGUCUCAUGUGCUUGGAGCCCCAUUAUUGCAUUGCCACAGGACUGACUAUGCGAUGGAAUCUUUCUACUUGAUGACACAGGACACAGUUGUACCUCUGGGAGGUGCUAUCCGGGAUGUGUAAUAAAGUGCUUCAGGUGUCCCCAAAGGAAGGCAAUGUAGUCCUGCAAAAUCAUUUCACAUAUUAAAAAAAAAAAAAAAGGAAAAUUUUGG